CGAAUACAGUGAGAUGAUUGGGCGGAGAGGCGGAGCAGGGGAUUGACCAAUAGGAGCUGUCCGGGACGGAUGGCUCCCAUUGGUCAAUGUUUUUGCAGCCCUGCACCUGAUAGGGUGAACAGAUUUUUUCCGUUCUUUUUUCUCUUCACUUUGUGGAGAUCGCACUAUAGGACCAUGAUCGCCAUAGAAACGAGGUCCAUAAUAAUUACCGAUCUCUCUAAUCGUUAACCAUGACUUUAAAGGGGC
Molecule: long non-coding RNA, 246 nt
Filed under: Xyrichtys novacula (pearly razorfish)
Lineage: Eukaryota; Metazoa; Chordata; Actinopteri; Labriformes; Labridae
Source: RNAcentral